RNAcentral lists this unclassified non-coding RNA (1159 nucleotides) under Hevea brasiliensis (rubber tree). Lineage: Eukaryota; Viridiplantae; Streptophyta; Magnoliopsida; Malpighiales; Euphorbiaceae. The record is from RNAcentral.
AGGAUAUCAGCAAAACCUCGUGCAAAACGGGACACCUGGUCAGAGGUUGAUAUCACAAAGCGAUGCCUAAUGAGGAGAUUGACAUAUUCCUCUCUAUUCUUGCUAGUUACAGAAAUGCUUUUCCCAUCAAGGCAAAGUUCCACAACUCUUCUUGAUCCCAACUCUUCAACUUCUCUAAUAAAUGUUAAUCCUAAAGCAUCCGAAUCAAUAAAAUCAGCAUCCAUUUCAAGAAUCUGCUUGCAGCUACUGUAUAAGCACGGAUCUGCAUUGCGUAUGUCCUCCAAAAAAAUAUGCCUUCCAGCCAAUUGCAAGAAAAACACACGAUCAAAGAUGAUGCCAACUUGCACUUUAUGCAUCAAAGCUAGCCCAAUAACUCGACCAGAGAACGUAAAAUAAUCAAGGUGCAUGGGAUCCACCUUAGAUGCAGGAUUAGGAUAAAAUCUUCUCAGAUCAUUUGGACAUGCAACGAAAAGGGCAUUUUGUUGAUUGAAUAAAGCUUGGACAACCAAGAAAAACCACUCCCGCAAGACACCAGGACCAGUAGCUUCUUCAUUUUUAAAUUCCAUAAAUAGACCACCAUGCAGUGCCUCAGGGUCUGCUCGUGCUAUAUACUCAAAUGAUUCUGCCAACAAGUGUGAUCUAUCAAUGAGCAUCUCAUGCAGCUCCUCGUAAUCUUCUUUAACCUCAGGGAACAUCAUCAUGGCCAAAUGCCUCCUGGACUCAAAAUCAGUGACAUCCUUGUGCUGAAGAAGCCACUGAUGAUCAUCAUUUCGUUUUGCAUAUUUAACAAUUAGAACACAAAGGGAUGCCUUCCUAAGCCUCAAAACUGCCCAAAAUUGUUCUUCAGCGUUUUUAUAAAGUUCGGCAAUGUUAUUCAAUUCCUUCAAAAUAGCAAGAUACUGAGACCAUGCUGUGUGAGUAGACUCACCUUCUCCAUUUGCUUUCAACGGCACAAGCAACUCUCCAUUCUGGUAAGACAGUUGUCCAUUUUUAUCAGUAAAUCACUAAAUAUAACAUGAAGUUGCUCAAUUUCCUCCACAUAUAAUGGAUGACUAAAACCUCUCUUGUUCAAAGGCACAGAAAUGGGCCCCUGAAAACCCACGUGUUCUGUAAUAGUCGUAUGCAAAGGGAGCAAGAAGGCUGAAAAGUCCCGAACAUC